This 351-nucleotide long non-coding RNA is filed under the name Setaria viridis. RNAcentral describes it as "long non-coding RNA (SVIR_LNC011143)". Lineage: Eukaryota; Viridiplantae; Streptophyta; Magnoliopsida; Poales; Poaceae. The record is from RNAcentral.
AGUACUUGUAAGAGGGAGAUUGUGUGGAUGAAGGGUAGCGGAACUGGAGCGUGUAAAGCCCCGGUCUCCGUCUAUGCUACCGUCGAGGGGAGGAGAUGGGCACAACUGCCUAGAGCGCAGCUUCCUUGCAUGCACUCCUCGCUUCUUGGCGGUUCUUCCUUGUGGACUGUGAGUAGUCACUAGGCUCAAAUGUAUCCUUGUGAUAUAAUAAAAGCCUGGGACUUUUGUUGUAACUGCCAGUAGGCAGUUGCUUGCAGUCGUUGUUGUUCAUUUGUGUUGUACUCUGAACACCCUGACUUCUUAAAGUAGAGUCAACUAUUGUAAUCUUGCAAAAUUUUGUUAAUAUGAAAG